Molecule: ribosomal RNA, 427 nt
Filed under: uncultured Acidobacteriota bacterium
Lineage: Bacteria; Pseudomonadati; Acidobacteriota
Description: bacterial SSU rRNA
Rfam family: Bacterial small subunit ribosomal RNA
Source: RNAcentral
AACGCGAAGAACCUUACCUGGGCUUGAACCGCUACUGACCAACGGUAGAAAUAUCGUCUUCCCGCAAGGGACAGUAGUAGAGGUGCUGCAUGGCUGUCGUCAGCUCGUGCCGUGAGGUGUUGGGUUAAGUCCCGCAACGAGCGCAACCCUUAUUCGUAGUUGCCACCCGCAAGGGGGAACUCUACGAGGACUGCUCCGGAUAACGGAGAGGAAGGUGGGGAUGACGUCAAGUCAGCACGGCCUUUAUGUCCAGGGCUACACACGUGUUACAAUGCACGGUACAGACUGUUGCGAACCCGCGAGGGGGAGCUAAUCGGACAAAACCGUGCUCAGUUCGGAUUGCAGUCUGCAACUCGACUGCAUGAAGCUGGAAUCGCUAGUAAUGGCGUAUCAGAUCGACGCCGUGAAUACGUUCCCGGGCCUUGUA